GACGAAGGUGGCAAGCGUUGCUCGGAAUCACUGGGCAUAAAGCGCGCGUAGGUGGCCUGAUAAGUCAGUGGUGAAAUCCCAUGGCUCAACCAUGGAACUGCCGCUGAUACUGUCGAGCUUGAGGACGGUAGGGGAGAGUGGAACUCCUGGUGUAGCGGUGAAAUGCGUAGAUAUCAGGAGGAACGCCGGUGGCGAAAGCGACUCUCUGGGCCGCUCCUGACACUGAUGCGCGAAAGCUAGGGGAGCAAACAGG
RNAcentral lists this ribosomal RNA (253 nucleotides) under uncultured bacterium. RNAcentral describes it as "partial 16S ribosomal RNA". It matches the Rfam family "Bacterial small subunit ribosomal RNA", at positions 524 to 776 of the family's 1533-position model. The record is from RNAcentral.